GGAGUUGCAUUGGAAUAUGCUUUUUACAUCGAUGUCCACCAUAUCUUCUCUUAUUUUCUUGUUUUAUCCCUGAAAACACAGACAUACCAAAACUCGUGGAACUCUGUUAGUUUAACCCCUACCCUAUGCAUAUAUUUCAUUAUGAGCAUAUAUUCAUGUUUAGUUGAUAGUUAAAGUGAUACUUAACAACUGUCAACAAGCUCUCCAAGCUUAACCUUAGCUAGUCCCUUAGCAAAGCUAAACUUAGCAAUGGGUUACGAGUUGCUACAAUGCUUUCAUGCCUCAAAGUACACAUGCAUUCAAAUAAAAAUUCUCCUUCGGAUUAGAAUAGACUAUUCUGACUUUCAAACUUAAACAUAUUACCUUCAACCAUGGGGCUUGUAGCCGUCACUUGGGUCUUGAGCAAUUGAAAGACAAAACAAUCAAGUCAAGUACUAUGCUUCAAGCUCUUAGCUCAACCAUUAUUCUAGAUUUUUUGUAAGUUUUCUAAAAAAACUUAGAGGACUCUCUUAAGUCUCUCAAUAUGUGGUAUUUAUGGAUCCUUACCAAGACAAUAAUGAUGUUAUGCCUUCACUCUUGCUCAUCCCACAACUAAUAAAGCUUAUAUGGAGUUCUUAGGAGGGGAGACAACACAUACAUACUUGCAAAAAAUAUUUUUGUAAAGUCAAACAAUAGAUCUAGAGAAACAAGUCAUACAACUAAAUCAAGAUGUGCAUGUGUGUGGAAUAUAUGUGGAGUGGUGUAUGUGGUGGAUAUGGCUAUGAAUGGUGUAAAUGGUGGCAAGGGUGAAAUCAUGGUGGGAACCUAAUUCUACUUUGCUCCUUGAAAACAUAUCUCUCUUUUUUGGAAUUUGAAAACCCUUGCCAGAGAACAUGGCUAUCUUAUUUAUUUUUCUCUCUCUUGGACAUUUGUCCAUUUUUUCUAAUACUAUUUUUUCUCUUUUUUUCUUCCUCUUCUUUUUUUCAAAUAAUUUUUGCAUAAUCUAUGCCUCUUUUGCAACAAAUCUUUGAGAGAUAACAACAAGAACUUGGAGCAUUUAUUUGGUGGAUUUGGGGUGAUUGGGUGGAUGGAAAUCUAUCAAGCAUGUAUUCGGUGUUCACUCCUAGUGUAGGAGUAGAACAUGUUUGGGUAGAUCUAAAUGGAAGGCAUGUUGUUACAUACUUCCAGUGUACAAGCAACAUAUUUGGAUGGAGUGUAGGUGAUCUUGAUUUUCAAAGCAUGACAAGUCUCUAAGGAUCAAUAAAGCUUGACAAAACUCAAUGCAAAGCAAGCAGUAAAAUACGUAAGUGGUUGUUGGGUAUUUUAAACGCAAACAGAAAAAUCCGCAAGCGCACGGAUACUGAUGUAGCCUUCACCCAGGAGUAUUCCAGAGUAUUGAUUUUCCACAGGGAACGUGAGUGUACUAAUUAAGAAUCAAGAUCGCCUAAGGAUAACUAUAUAAUUAUUUUUGGUGGGAAGAGAGGAAGUUUCCUGAGAGUUCUCUAGUUGAUCUAAGAAUCAAGAAUUACUUCAAAGAUUAUCUAUUUCGGGACAUCAGAGCACUAACCACAAAAAGAGAUGAGAAGGGGGCUAGGAAGGUCUGACUACGGUCCUACAAACACCGAUCCGAACGUGGUGGAAUACGUCGACCGUUAGGGCUGUCACUACCCUAAGGCUACCACAACAAUCCGCAGGAUUGGGUACAAUUCUAGGUAAUUGCAAGACUAAACACCACGUCUAAUCUAUUAAUUACUACUCUAAUGUUUCAAAGAUUAGAGCACUUGUUGCAAGCGGGAAUCCAAUAAAUAACCUGAAUGUAAAUAAAAGUAAUUAAAGAACUCAGGAAUUAUGAAUUGAAGAACCUGGAGAACGAUGAAGAACGAACCAGUUGCUGUAAAAGUACAAUGUUGAGGAAGAUCCGACAGAUCCGGCUCCUCCUCCUCCGCUCUCCUCUUCUCUCUCCCUAUUUUCUAGAUUACAACUAGAACUAACUAGAACUAGAACUAGAGGAACUAGAACUGGAACUAGAUGAACUAGAACUAGAUCUAGAUGAACUAGAGGUAGAACUAGAAGAACUAGAGGGAUCCUCUCUACUU
This 2075-nucleotide long non-coding RNA is filed under the name Sorghum bicolor (sorghum). Its description in RNAcentral is "long non-coding RNA (SBIC_LNC005105)". The record is from RNAcentral. Lineage: Eukaryota; Viridiplantae; Streptophyta; Magnoliopsida; Poales; Poaceae.